GUCAAGGUCGUCCAAUGGAAGGAUAGGCAUCUCUCUCAAUCCAAAAUUUUGAUUGUUUCUGAAGCCAGAUCAAGGUUCAAUUCCUUGUCUUGACA
Molecule: non-coding RNA, 95 nt
Organism: Tritrichomonas musculus
Lineage: Eukaryota; Parabasalia; Tritrichomonadida; Tritrichomonadidae
Source: the annotation of a GenBank genome assembly